AUGCGCGUCAUCUUGUGCAACAUAAUACAUAACAUCACUAUUCUAUCACCGAAACACAGCCGUGGAGUACUCAUCAAAGAAGAAAAGGAAAAAUACACAUACCUGAGCCUUUAUCUCGGCAUUUCUCGUCAACACAACACCGUCAAAGAGGCGCCGAACACUUCUCGGGUUGGAAGGCGAAUCGGAAAUGCGAAAGAAAGGUCGAACGAAUCUGAGACGGUGAUGAGAAUCACAGAAGCGGAGAUGACGAUGGAUGAGCGGCGGGGUGUGGUGAUUGAAGGGCGUUGUCGCGAUGAAGACGGAGGUCGUCGGAGUCGAAAGAUUGAAGCUAAAGAGAUCUCACGACGGUAG
This is a non-coding RNA of Vicia faba (fava bean), 351 nucleotides long. Lineage: Eukaryota; Viridiplantae; Streptophyta; Magnoliopsida; Fabales; Fabaceae. The record is from the annotation of a GenBank genome assembly.